GCGCACCAGGCGCGAAUACUUUACAAUGUGCGAAAGCACGAUAAGGGAACUCUGAGUGCCUCCUAAGGAGGCUGUUCAGGUGUCUAAAAGCACCUGAAGGAAGGGCUGGGUAAGACCGGUGCCAGCCGCCGCGGUAACACCGGCAGCCCAAGUGGUAGCCACGUUUAUUGGGUCUAAAGCGUCCGUAGCCGGCUGGGUAAGUUCCUUGGGAAAUUUGGCUGCUUAACAGUCAAGCUUUCAGGGAAUACUGCCCGGCUUGGGACCGGGAGAGGUCAGAGGUACUCCAGGGGUAGGGGUGAAAUCCAUUAAUCCUUGGGGGACCACCGGUAGCGAAGGCGUCUGACCAGACCGGGUCCGACGGUGAGGGACGAAGGCUAGGGGCGCGAACCGGAUUAGAUACCCCCGUAGU
RNAcentral lists this ribosomal RNA (409 nucleotides) under uncultured microorganism. RNAcentral's name for it is "bacterial SSU rRNA". It matches the Rfam family "Archaeal small subunit ribosomal RNA", at positions 330 to 745 of the family's 1478-position model. The record is from RNAcentral.